CCUACGGGUGGCAGCAGUGAGGAAUAUUGGUCAAUGGGCGCGAGCCUGAACCAGCCAAGUAGCGUGAAGGAUGACGGCCCUACGGGUUGUAAACUUCUUUUAUAAAGGAAUAAAGUGAGGCACGUGUGCCUUGUUGUAGGUACUUUAUGAAUAAGGAACGGCUAACUCCGUGCCAGCAGCCGCGGUAAUACGGAGGAUCCGAGCGUUAUCCGGAGUUAGUGGGUUUAAAGGGAGCGUAGAUGGGUUGUUAAGUCAGUUGUGUAAGUUUGCGGCUCAACCGUAAAAUUGCAAUUGAUACUGGCUGCCUUGCUUACCGUUGAGGUAGGCGGAAUUCGUGGUGUAGCGG
This 346-nucleotide ribosomal RNA is filed under the name uncultured bacterium. RNAcentral's name for it is "partial 16S ribosomal RNA". It matches the Rfam family "Bacterial small subunit ribosomal RNA", at positions 338 to 681 of the family's 1533-position model. The record is from RNAcentral.